This 460-nucleotide ribosomal RNA is filed under the name uncultured bacterium. RNAcentral's name for it is "partial 16S ribosomal RNA". It matches the Rfam family "Bacterial small subunit ribosomal RNA", at positions 338 to 795 of the family's 1533-position model. The record is from RNAcentral.
CCUACGGGAGGCAGCAGUGAGGAAUAUUGGUCAAUGGACGGGAGUCUGAACCAGCCAAGUAGCGUGAAGGAUGACUGCCCUAUGGGUUGUAAACUUCUUUUAUAUGGGAAUAAAAUGUUCCACGUGUGGGAGUUUGUAUGUACCAGAUGAAAAAGGAUCGGCUAACUCCGUGCCAGCAGCCGCGGUAAUACGGAGGAUCCGAGCGUUAUCCGGAUUUAUUGGGUUUAAAGGGAGCGUAGGUGGAUUGUUAAGUCAGUUGUGAAAGUUUGCGACUCAACCGUAAAAUUGCAGUUGAAACUGGCAGUCUUGAGUACAGUAGAGGUGUGCGGAAUUCGUGGUGUAGCGGUGAAAUGCUUAGAUAUCACGAAGAACUCCGAUUGCGAAGGCAGCUCACUGGACGGCAACUGACACUGAGGCUCGAAAGUGUGGGUAUCAAACAGGAUUAGAUACCCGAGUAGUC